This 497-nucleotide ribosomal RNA is filed under the name uncultured bacterium. Its description in RNAcentral is "partial 16S ribosomal RNA". It matches the Rfam family "Bacterial small subunit ribosomal RNA", at positions 28 to 507 of the family's 1533-position model. The record is from RNAcentral.
GACGAACGCUGGCGGCGUGCCUAAUACAUGCAAGUCGAACGCUGAAGAGAGGAGCUUGCUCUUCUUGGAUGAGUUGCGAACGGGUGAGUAACGCGUAGGUAACCUGCCUGGUAGCGGGGGAUAACUAUUGGAAACGAUAGCUAAUACCGCAUAAAAUUGAUUAUUGCAUGAUAAUUAAUUGAAAGAUGCAACUGCAUCACUACCAGAUGGACCUGCGUUGUAUUAGCUAGUUGGUGAGGUAACGGCUCACCAAGGCGACGAUACAUAGCCGACCUGAGAGGGUGAUCGGCCACACUGGGACUGAGACACGGCCCAGACUCCUACGGGAGGCAGCAGUAGGGAAUCUUCGGCAAUGGGGGGAACCCUGACCGAGCAACGCCGCGUGAGUGAAGAAGGUUGUCGGAUCGUAAAGCUCUGUUGUAAGAGAAGAACGGGUGUGAGAGUGGAAAGUUCACACUGUGACGGUAGCUUACCAGAAAGGGACGGCUAACUACGUG